RNAcentral lists this ribosomal RNA (163 nucleotides) under uncultured bacterium. Its description in RNAcentral is "partial 16S ribosomal RNA". It matches the Rfam family "Bacterial small subunit ribosomal RNA", at positions 346 to 509 of the family's 1533-position model. The record is from RNAcentral.
AGGCAGCAGUGGGGAAUAUUGCACAAUGGGCGCAAGCCUGAUGCAGCGACGCCGCGUGCGGGAUGGAGGCCUUCGGGUUGUAAACCGCUUUUGUUCAAGGGCAAGGCAGGCUUUCGGGCCUGUUGAGUGGAUUGUUCGAAUAAGCACCGGCUAACUACGUGCC